GGGGGUAUGAAAUUUACCUCGAUCGGCAGUCGGAAAUCUCCCCGGUGCGGCGGCGGGUGGCGGCGGCUGGCGUCUGGUUCAUCUUCUCCGGCGAGGGCAGGCGGCUAGGGUUUUUGUGGUCAGGUGUGGGGGUUCUAUUUAUACCCUUUUGCCUUUUGAUCUCAACCAUCCAUUUUGAUUUAAUCGUGGCCAUCUGUUUUUGAUUGAAUCUAGGCCGUUCGUACGAUUGCAUCUGGGCCGUC
This 242-nucleotide long non-coding RNA is filed under the name Carica papaya (papaya). RNAcentral describes it as "long non-coding RNA (CPAP_LNC016667)". Lineage: Eukaryota; Viridiplantae; Streptophyta; Magnoliopsida; Brassicales; Caricaceae. The record is from RNAcentral.